This 489-nucleotide long non-coding RNA is filed under the name Salmo salar (Atlantic salmon). RNAcentral's name for it is "lncRNA (ENSSSAG00000042718.2)". Lineage: Eukaryota; Metazoa; Chordata; Actinopteri; Salmoniformes; Salmonidae. The record is from RNAcentral.
CUCCUUCACCUCUCCCUGCAGCUUUCUGUAUUCUGCUCUUUAGAGCCUGUGCAUUGGCCUGGAUGACGUCACUGGAGAGCCUCUGAUUCAGAGAGACGAUGACACACCAGAGACCAUCACCAGGAGGCUGAAGUCCUACGAGAUCCAGACACAACCCGUGUUGGAGUACUACAGGAGCAAAGGGAUGUUGGAGACAUUCUCAGGAACGGAAACCAACAAGAUCUGGCCUCACAUUCAGGCAUUUCUGUCCAAAAAACUCUUCCCCCAAAAUGAAACGGUUGUUGGGAAAGCCUAGAAUCCACUCUGGGAACAGAUGGAUUAGUUUACCACAAUUUAAAUGGAACUCAACUCUUUGGUCCAAACCAUAGCAGUAUCUCUGUGCCUAUAUAAGACCAUGCCACUUAGUACAACAUAUUGUAGUUGGAUGAGGAUCACUUGUUCAACCAAUGUCACAUUCUAUCUCUGUUCAUUCCAUAUGUAGCCUGAUCC